Non-coding RNA from Vicia faba (fava bean), 333 nucleotides. The record is from the annotation of a GenBank genome assembly. NCBI's taxonomy places the organism in Eukaryota, Viridiplantae, Streptophyta, Magnoliopsida, Fabales, Fabaceae.
AUGGCUCUUUCUAGGAAACAAUACUCUUACUCAAAGAUGGAUAAAGAAGAUCCUGAAGAAAUACUUCAUAGAAGAGCACAAUUCUUGAUCUACAAGGUGUUAGAACAAGCGAAUUCUAGAAGAAAACAAUCUUGUCUAAGGAUAAAAAUAUCUAAGUUGAAGGUGAGGAUUGGGAAGAGAUUAAAGAGGCUAAGAAAGAGAAUUAUGUCAAGUGUGGUUGCAACUAGGGUUGGUAUUCAUGGACAUGUUGUGAAUCAAUUGAAAACAUUGAAACGUUUGUUUGGGAGAGAGAAACAAACCCUUUUAACCAUUCCUUCUCUUAUGAUCAAAUAA